UACGUAGGGACCAAGCGUUGUUCGGAUUUACUGGGCGUAAAGGGCGCGUAGGCGGCGCGGUAAGUCACUUGUGAAAUCUCUGAGCUUAACUCAGAACGGCCAAGUGAUACUGCAGUGCUAGGGUGUGGAAGGGGCAAUCGGAAUUCUUGGUGUAGCGGUGAAAUGCGUAGAUAUCAAGAGGAACACCUGAGGUGAAGACGGGUUGCUGGGCCAACACUGACGCUGAUGCGCGAAAGCCAGGGGAGCAAACGGG
RNAcentral lists this ribosomal RNA (253 nucleotides) under uncultured bacterium. RNAcentral describes it as "partial 16S ribosomal RNA". It matches the Rfam family "Bacterial small subunit ribosomal RNA", at positions 524 to 776 of the family's 1533-position model. The record is from RNAcentral.